Molecule: long non-coding RNA, 6598 nt
Filed under: Sus scrofa (pig)
Lineage: Eukaryota; Metazoa; Chordata; Mammalia; Artiodactyla; Suidae
Description: lncRNA (ENSSSCG00030051171.1)
Source: RNAcentral
UUUUCCAGUAUUUUACUGUGACCCAAUAUGACAGGGACCCAUUAAAAAAAUUCUAAGUGAAAAUAAUAAGGCCAAACUUUAUAGAAUAAAUAGCAUGAAGAGCUUGAAUACCCUUCUUUUCCCUUGAAGAGUAAAAUAAGCAAAUUAUCAACCACCAUCGAAGCCAAGGCAGGCCCCUAGCUUUUAAUCCUGCCGAUUUCCAUGUUCCAUAAACACGUGGGAAAGAGAGUUUCAGCAGCUCUGCAGAUGAGCAAGUUUACGAGAAAAGAAAAAAUUGAGCAGAAAUUCAAUUAUGUCAUCAUAGGAGAACUUACAUAGAGGCUUUGUUUUUCCCUGACUUGAAGAAAGAAAACAGGAAGGAAAGAUUUUUUUCUCUCAUCUUUCUCUGCUUCUGAAAGCCUGAGGCGCUUGUAGUGAGAAGCCGUCUAACUCACACAUUCCUGAGGACUCAUAUUAUACACAUAUGUGUCCCACAAGUGAGUGGAUGCCUGACAGUCUGAUCACGCUACCCGAGAAGGGCUUUGCAGUUCUAGUGCGGGCACAGCCACCGUGGGGCGCAGCCUUGGCAGAGGUUCGAGCCUUCCCUCUGGGACAGGAAGCCUCACUUCACCACACUGACUGAAAACCGGAUCUCUAAGAUCCCUUCUACCUCUAAAACUCAGUACCACACAUUUUGCAAAGAAGUCGUUUAAGCAAAUUACACAAAACUGUUCUCGGGAACAAACAAAUGUGUUAGAGUUACCGGUACUUAGUUCCCAUUGGUGUUUUUUGAAUUCUGCAGAGAAUAUAUUUGCAAGUGGCACGCGUAAAAACCUGCCUUGAGUAAUAUUCAAGGCAGUUUCGUAAGAGAGGUUUCACCUGACACUCAUCGAACCCUGGUGCAAGGGGCAGACGUGCUGAGGGAUGGCUCCAGCAGAGCCGGCAAGGGCAGGCUCCCUGGAUUCAAAUGCCACCUCCAACCACCUGCUGAUGGCGUGACUCUGGACAAGUCUUUCAACUCCUAGGGGCCCUGUUUCCUUAUCGGUAGGAAGGGAAUAACUAAAGAAUCUCGAGUUGCCAGGGGGAUUAAAUGAACAGAUCCCGAGUAGUUUCUUGGUAGUGCCUAAACCGGUCCUGGGCGUCAGUUGGCUUUUAGCACAGGCUAUUAAACCGGCUUAAAGAGGUUGGGUGAUCUGAACCAGGGCAAAGAGCAGCUCAGAAAAGAGGUGGGAGUGGAACACGAGGCCCCCUGACUUCCCGUGUUGGGUCACGUGCCCUUCCUGCUUGAGGCCACACCCCCUCCUUUCUAUAACAGUGCCGCCAAAGAGUGCACUCCUUCCCGUUGUUUAAGAGCAAACUUUCAGUCAGUGACCACUAUGAAGAACAUUUGUGACACGGUUUUGUUCCGUUUGGGGAAGUGAGGGGACGGUGGGCCCAGGGGUCUGGAGAGCAGACACUGAUUCUGUAAACUUGGGCUUGAAUGAUGUCCACAGCAGAACAAAUUACAGCAAGACCUGAGUGUCCCUAUAGUCUGAUCCCAUUUUAAAUACCCAACCUUAGGAAUGGUCCUUCCCCCUCCCCCAUUUACAGGCGUUCCUAGCAGGCCACAGCUUCUUGGCGACAGCCACGUCUGUUGGGUUCACAUUCUCUGUGUUAUUCCCCACAAGCAUGUAUUUUUAUGAUCUUUAUCCUAUUUUGCUCUACUUUUCCUUUCUCUUUUUAAGACAUCAGCAUUGGCCACCCAGGACUUAAGAGGAAUUUUCAUAUAAAGCAUAGUCUGUGAUGGGAACAACUUGCACAGGAGCUUUGGGAACUGUGAACCUCUGUGUGAACAUGACACAGGGAGAGGGGACAUUAGAUAUGCUAAUAUUUGAGUAGCCUUCUGGCCUCUAAUUGUUCACCAGCCUCAAUCAAUAAGAUUUUUGUAGGUCGUAGGUAUGUGCAGUUGCACCCCGUGUAGGGUUCCUGUCCUUUUGACGUUAGGCUGGGUGUUCCCCUGUCUAUUGAGCAAGUUCCUAAGGUCUUGAGAGUGAGGGCAGAGGGAUGCCUGUUGUAUAGCAUCGUUGGUUUGCGUUAAAUUCUUCAGUUCAGUUAUUGAUGCUGUUUUUAUUCAUCCUCAAUUUGAAGAUUAUAUUCAUGCCAUGCAAAGUAUAGAUGCAGAUGGUAUUAUUAUUAUUAUUAUUAUUAUUAUUAUUUUGCUUUUUAGGGCCUCACCUGCAGCAUCUGGAAGUUCCCAGGCUAAGGGUCGAAUUGGAGCAACAGCUGCCGGCCUACACCACAGCCACAGCAACGCAAGAUCCCAGCCAAAUCUGCGACCUACACCACAACUCACAGCAACGCCAGAUCCUUAUCCCACUGAGUGAGGCCAGGGAUAGAACCUGCAUCCUCACGGAUACUAGUUGGGCUCGUUACCACCGAGCCACAAUGGGAACUUCCUGGUUUUAGGAAUUUUUUUUUACAUAAAUUAAGGGCUUAGCAGAGUUCCCAUUGUGGUGCAGGGGAAACGAAUCUGAAAAGGAACCCUGAGGUUGCGGGUUUGAUCCCUGGCCUCACUCAGCAGGUUAAGGAACCAGUGUUGCCGUGAGCUGUGAUGUAGGUUGCAGAUGUGGCUCAGACGUAUCUGGUGUUGCUGUGGCUGUGGAGUAGGUUGGCAGCUAUAGCUCCAAUUAGACCCCUAGCCUGGGAGCCUCCAUAUGUCACAGGUGUGGCCCUAAAAAAAAAAAAGUGAAAAGAGGAAAAAAAAGAAAUUAAGGGCUUAGCGAUGCCAUGUAACAAAUUACGUGAACACAUUGGAUCUGUUUGUUUUUAUUCUUUGGUCUCAUUAAGUGGAAGCUUGUGUUUUUCUCCUCCUGCCAUCAUGAACCGCCCCCCCCCAAUUCCCACCCAAGAUAGAAGCGCAUUAAUAGCCUGAAAAUAAAGGACAGGCUUUUUCUAAGCUCCUCUUUUAGCAAACUGUCUACUAGUCCCUUCAGAAAAUGAGCUCUGUCACAUUGAUGCUCUUUAAGAGAAAAGCAAUUUUUCUUACUCAAUUUGCCCAAUUGUCAAGAAAUUCUACUCUGCUAUAAGUGAUCAGGUUUGGUUAAAGUCGAGAGAAAUACAUACAAAAGGUCAUAUUUUACUCCUUUGUGGUUGGCUUUCAAAGGAUGCUUUGAUUCGAAAACCAAGCAGUCACUGUUAACAUGAUGAGGUCUUAAAACAAGUGUUUUUCUGCCCCCAUCACAGACAUAUCUGAAAAAGGCCCCUCUUCUCCCAAACCCCAGGGAUGACACUCAGAGGCUGUGUCUUCAGUGUCUCAGCGCCCAGGAGGGAAGAUCAUUUCCAUAUUUGAAAUUUAGGGGCAAGCGGAAAUAACUUUGUUUUUCUCAAAGGGUUAAUACUCUAAACAGCUUCAGAUUGGUUCACUCGCAUCUUAAAAUUACUUUUCUGGUCACGCGCACUGAAGGUCUAAGCAUUUGUGAAAUGUCUUUUUCUUUUUCUUCCUCCCGAUGCUGUGCUGUUCUCUUCUGGCUGUCUUAAUUACACAGGGGUUGAGAAACCAAAUUAAAAUUAGGCGUGGCUGGUAAACAGCGAUCACGUUGCCUGCUUUCAGCUUUGCUUGUUGGAGUUACUUCUCCUUGUAUCACUUUCCUUCCCACUUUUUUUUUUUCCAAAGGAAAUAUCAUGAGCUCUUUUAGAAAUACUCACAGGAAGUGAGUGUCCACACGCCGGUUAUUCACCAGCUGAGCGCUGACAGGUGGAGGUACUGCUGCUGCCCUCCCAGAUUUAUUUGAGCAUUUCCACCAGAGCAGGGGAGUACUCGGGGUAUACAGACCAAAGGGGUUUUGUGUACUGAGGGAGUUGUGAGAGGAAAUUGGUCAUCGUUCGUCAUCGUGGUGGACAGUGACUCAGGGAGCUGUGAUGAGGGGUCAGCAAGGCACGUGGCCGCCGUCUCUGAGGUCUCUGCUCCCUGCUCAGGGGGCGGGCUGUCUUCUAAAAAUGAAUGCUCCCUCCACCGCCAGCAACGAUUCUUGUGCAUUGAAUCACUUCCAGAAAUGAAUAGCCACAGUUUUUUGGAAUGAAUGUUGUGAAAUCCCUCGUUUAUAAUGGCAGGUUUUCCGUUGGUGGUUUUUAUCAGAGAGAAUUUCUCAAGAUCAAAACGAAACCUCCUCUUUACAAAGAAAGAAAGUACUCUCGAUACAGAAAGCAAAAGUAUUUCCACUCUCCUCCUGACGAGCUGUCACAGAAGAUCUCUGUACCUGUGUUUAGAGAUCCACGUCCAUGUACUUGCCUGAACGCACGAGUCCUUGAAAUCACGGGUUCAUUGCCGUAACUGGUGGUCUCCUAUGCAGCAGGUUGCUAACUCCGAGCAGUGUUAUGUGCGGUGAGUAGGUGGUAGACUCCGAAGAUCAUUGCUAAUCCAGUGUUCGUCCUCUUGAGUCAUGGAUUCAGAGGACUGCCAGCAACUCUUAAAUACUUGCUGUGCCUUAUAUGAUUUAAUGCAUGGAGCUGCAAGACUCCCAGAAGCCUGUGAAAGGUUUUGCAGAGCGUGGAUUAAUUGAAUAAUCUUUUGAAUAUACUAGUCCUUGGGAGAAAGAAAGGAUGUCUUACAGAAGGAAGCAGUUUGUGGGUCUCUUAGAGCUACAGUUACUGCUCUCCUGUAUUUUAAGUGUCACUCUAUCCUCUUGUGUGAAAGAAAUAAAUGACUGCAUGGUUUAAUGGAGAAGAAGUUACGCCAGCUCUUUUGAAAUGAAGAGACCUUCACCCACGUGUUACUCCUCGCUGGACUGUCGUCCUCCUGCCUCUUCACACAGAGCAAGUUUCCACGAGCGAGGCUCCCCGUCUGGCAGCAUCAGUGAUGCGCCUCAUCCAGAACCCAGUGGGCCCGCCAUGGGUUACUGGCAGCACUUUUAUCGAGGGGCAAAGAGAGGAAAUCCAGUUCCUGGAAACAGGGAGUGCAGUUUCAGAAAUCCUUCUCCCUCCCGAGUGGAGAAGUUGUUUGACCUACUGACUCAUUUCAUAGGAAUUGGGAAAACAACCUAGUGUGGUUUUCAUUGUUCAUCCUGGAGGCUUCCAAAAUCUGCGUCUGUGCAAAUAAGAUGAGCUGGAGAAAGGUAGUGUUGCCACUUGCUGUUUCUACCUGCCUGGUCUCCCGAUGGGAUUCAGUCUCUUGCUUCCAGCGCAAGUCCAGCCUGUGCCUGGGGCUCCGUUGUGUGCCUGUCCAGUGGUGAGUACGGAUGACAGCAUUGUCUGAUUUUAUGAGUUCUUGCUUCUAAAUUUCUAAAUGGCAUUUCAUCGCAGGAAAAGCUUUAAAGAGCCAUUUUCCCCCGGCACAUUUAUAUUACAUUUUAUAUUGACCUGUAGAAAAUACUCUAGGUGUGGUGAUAAUUAUAAAAAGACCACAGAACCCGUAGACAACAAUGAAAGUUAAGAGUUAAGAGAUCUUUUGAAAAACAGAUUUUUUUUAGCGUAUUGACAUGAGGGCAGUUUUGAUUUUGACACAUUUAUAUUAAGUGAUUUUUGGGGGUAGUGUUAUUUAUAACACAAGUAUGGAAGAUAAUAGUAUAUUUUAACAAAAUAAUAUAAUUACUACUAGUUAAUAAUGAAAGGCAUGUCUUUCUGGCUAGCAGCAUAAUGUUUACAUGCAGAGGAUCUUUUGAUUUAUGACAUUUUGGUUUUAAGCUACUGUUAUCAAAUAAGCUAAAAGUAUCCAAAGAAGACAGAGUAUAUUAACUUGGAUAAAAGUAGAAGCUGAGAGGUGCUUGAAGGGAUUAAUAUUUGAAGUGUUAGAUUAUGGCCUCCGUAUCAUUUCAUUUAUGCCAAGUCCCCCAGAUCAUACUCAAGAUAUGAUCUUCAGCAUUGCAGCUGAUGCUUAGUGUAUAAUUAUCAUAGAGUUUCUCAUUCUCUUCGGAGAUGGCCGAGGAGAACGUUGACUUGGUCACACUAGCGCUUUCUCUUCAGCAAACAGCGUUGCGUGUGAAACGCCUUAGAGGCGGAGUUCUUAACCUUUCCAGGGUGUGGGGCCCCUGUGAGGUUGCGAUGGACACUGGAAGUCGUCUCACUACAUGCACGCACAAGCAUUUGCCCGCAUUUUCAGGGCAUUUGCAGCUACAGUGAAGCACACCCGGGACCCCGGGCGCGGGUUGCCACCUGGCAUGAGACCACACUGUGAUCUUUCCAUCCCUUGGUUUCGCAGCAGACACUGGGAUCGAAAGGGGCGGCAGCCAAGUCGAAAAUAAGUCAUCCUCUGUGGUUGCUCAGUGGGGAUGCAAAGCCCGAGAAAAGGAGGAAGGGUGGAGAAAAUAUGUGACUAAUACUAAACAAACAAAGAGAAUCCUUAGUAUUAUCACAACCACCGAACAGCCCAGAAGCCCCAGACGUCUAACCUUGGGUGUUGGGAAAGUACAAGGUGAAUUCCAGUGGAUACUUCAAGAUUCAGUGUUAAACAACUGGAGAGAGUUUUCCUUCUAAGUAAUGAAGUCUCUUUUCUUUUUUUCCAUAUGUAUGUUACCAAAUUAGAUCAGACCACAAACCAUCUGAACCCCAGCAGUAUAAAUAAUAACCGUUGUAACAAACUGGAGAAAUGGUUCUACUUGAGCAGGAGAAAUUUGGGUGGGGAUAGAUAGAAGGUAGCUUAGCUGAG